GGAGGGGGCUAGCGUUGUUCGGAAUUACUGGGCGUAAAGCGCACGUAGGCGGACUGGAAAGUUGGAGGUGAAAUCCCAGGGCUCAACCUUGGAACUGCCUUCAAAACUAUCAGUCUGGAGUUCGAGAGAGGUGAGUGGAAUUCCGAGUGUAGAGGUGAAAUUCGUAGAUAUUCGGAGGAACACCAGUGGCGAAGGCGGCUCACUGGCUCGAUACUGACGCUGAGGUGCGAAAGUGUGGGGAGCAAACAGGAUUAGAUACCCUGGUAGUCCACACCGUAAACGAUGAAUGCCAGUCGUCGGGCAGUAUACUGUUCGGUGACACACCUAACGGAUUAAGCAUUCCGCCUGGGGAGUACGGUCGCAAGAUUAAA
This 371-nucleotide ribosomal RNA is filed under the name uncultured bacterium. RNAcentral's name for it is "bacterial SSU rRNA". It matches the Rfam family "Bacterial small subunit ribosomal RNA", at positions 527 to 898 of the family's 1533-position model. The record is from RNAcentral.